Molecule: long non-coding RNA, 1233 nt
Organism: Anguilla rostrata (American eel)
Lineage: Eukaryota; Metazoa; Chordata; Actinopteri; Anguilliformes; Anguillidae
Exons: 2
Source: RefSeq, a predicted model, not a curated record
UUCAUAGGUUAGGGAUUACAGAUUUAGUUAUUUUAGGAAAAUUGAGUAGUGGAGAUGCCGGGGAUUGAACCCGGGGCCUCAUACAUGCAAAGCAUGCGCUCUACCACUGAGCUACAUCCCCAGUGGCUUUCAUUUUGAGUAACACUAGGGCUAGGUGUACAGAUUAGGGUUUGGUAUCACAAUUUUUAUUAGAUUAGGUUAGGAAAAAACAGCAGUGGAGAUGCUGGGGAUUGAACCCAGGGCCUCAUACAUGCAAAGCAUGCGCUCUACCACUGAGCUACAUCCCCAGUGGCUUUCAUUUUGAGUAGCACUAGGGUUAGGUGUACAGAUUAGGGUUUGGUAUCACAAUUUUUAUUAGAUUAGGAAAAUUGAGUAGUGGAGAUGCCGGGGAUUGAACCCGGGGCCUCAUACAUGCAAAGCAUGCGCUCUACCACUGAGCUACAUCCCCAGUGACUUUUAUUGUGGGUUAGGUCUACAGGUCAGGGUUUGGGAUUACAGUGUAGAUUACAGGAAUUAGGGUUUUUGGUUUGGCUACGGUUAGAUUCAUAGGUUAGGGAUUACAGAUUUAGUUAUUUUAGGAAAAUUGAGUAGUGGAGAUGCCGGGGAUUGAACCCGGGGCCUCAUACAUGCAAAGCAUGCGCUCUACCACUGAGCUACAUCCCCAGACAUGCAGAACUGUAUUCUGGUUAGCCAGCUGGUAAGUAUUAUGGUUAAAGCUAAAUUUUGGCUACAUGUAGUAGUUUGAGGAAGGGUUUUUUUUCACAUUUUCCCAGUGAAAUACAAUUUUCAAAAUAAAAGACACAUUUCAAACACAUUUCUUUCUAUUUCUGUUAUUGAAUAUGUGCUAUUUUAGUUGUUUUUCCAUCGAUUUGAAUAGAAAAACUUUAUAUUUAAAAGAUAUUUAAAAGAACGCACAUGACUUCACUUAGGUUUAGAGUUCCAAUGAGGUUUUGGCUGGGGUUAGGUCUAUGGUUUGGGUAGGGUUAUGAAAACAGCAAGUCUUAGGGAUGUAGCAGUUAUAGCCUUACAUAUUUUGAUAUUUUUUCAAUGAAUACAUUAUUUAAAACUAUUUCUUUGCUUUUCAUUUAUUGAUGAUAUUCAUACUUCUUUUAAUUCAUUUAAAUAUAAAAAUCAGAUAUAACACCUAGGGCUAGAAAUAGGUUUUAGGUUUCAAAUUAGGAUUAGGUUUAGGAAAUAAUUUUUUUAACACAAAACUUUCCUCCAUGAGUUGGA